CAGUCGCCGCGGGAAUACGAAGGGGGCUAGCGUUGCUCGGAAUGACUGGGCGUAAAGGGCGCGUAGGCGGUUUUGACAGUCAGAUGUGAAAUCCCGGGGCUCAACCCCGGAACUGCAUCCGACACUGCCAUGCUAGAGGAUUGGAGAGGUAGCUGGAAUUCUUGGUGUAGCAGUGAAAUGCGUGGAGAUCAAGAGGAACACUCGUGGCGAAGGCGAGCUACUGGACAAUAACUGACGCUGAGGCUCGAAGGCCAGGGUAGCGAAAGGGAUUAGAUACCCGUGUAGUCCCUGUCUCUUAUAC
This 301-nucleotide ribosomal RNA is filed under the name uncultured bacterium. RNAcentral describes it as "partial 16S ribosomal RNA". It matches the Rfam family "Bacterial small subunit ribosomal RNA", at positions 509 to 807 of the family's 1533-position model. The record is from RNAcentral.